RNAcentral lists this ribosomal RNA (416 nucleotides) under uncultured bacterium. RNAcentral's name for it is "bacterial SSU rRNA". It matches the Rfam family "Bacterial small subunit ribosomal RNA", at positions 355 to 776 of the family's 1533-position model. The record is from RNAcentral.
UGAGGAAUUUUGCGCAAUGGGGGAAACCCUGACGCAGCGACGCCGCGUGGAGGAUGAAGGCCUUCGGGUCGUAAACUCCUGUCAGAGGUGAAGAAUGCCCGCAAGGGUUUGACGGUAACCUCAAAGGAAGCCCCGGCUAACUACGUGCCAGCAGCCGCGGUAAUACGUAGGGGGCAAACGUUGCUCGGAAUUACUGGGCGUAAAGGGAGUGUAGGCGGCUGGGCAAGUCAGAGAUGAAAUCCCGAGGCUUAACUUCGGAACUGUCUUUGAAACUGCCUAGCUUGAGGAUAGUCGAUGAAAAGGGAAUUCCCGGUGGAGCGGUGAAAUGCGUAGAUAUCGGGAGGAACACCUGAGGCGAAGGCGCUUUUCAAAACUACUCCUGACGCUGAGACUCGAAAGCUAGGGGAGCAAACGGG